Long non-coding RNA from Cydia pomonella (codling moth), 728 nucleotides. RefSeq lists it as uncharacterized. Lineage: Eukaryota; Metazoa; Arthropoda; Insecta; Lepidoptera; Tortricidae. The transcript has 2 exons. The record is from RefSeq and is a predicted model, not a curated record.
CACUACCAUAUGUAAAUUAUUAUUAUUUUAUAUAAAUUAUUACCUAUUUCAGUUUGUCUUUGUCUAUGUUCAUAAAAUCUAUGGAGGUCAGAGGCACAUAUACCCUCCAUAAAGCCUUGCACUUGGGUCUGGCCGGUUAGAACAUAGACAAAAGUCUGCAAUGUCAAUGCUGUCAAAGUCAUUGACGCAAAACUAUUUUCAUUUUCAAAACUAUCAGUUUUCAUAUAAAAUGAUUAAAUAACGAUUUAUGUUGUUGAAAUAGAUUUAUUGAUUAAUUUUUAAAAUUAAAAAUCCACCGCACAGUAUCUCCGCUCAGACUCGGUUAAAGUUUAAUCCAUUGUACUAAACUAAGAAACAACAAUUAUUUCAAGAGGGUGAACGUGAGCAAAAAAUCCUUGGGCGUCAUAUCAUUUCCUUGGAAAGGCUCAAAAUCAAAAGGCACGGAUCCGCCACAUAAUUGUGACUAGUUGUAGUUUCCCGGUGACCAUCAACAAGACCGCUGCACUGAGCUGUGGAGCAGAAAGUGUCCGACAAUCGGAUAGAUGUAAUAACAACUUUGUCUGUCAUAUAUUCAUGUAAUUUUUAGUUUUUUGGGCUGAUAUAUGUGAUAUGAUUACAAGUUACACUAAUUGCAAUUGUGGAGUAAAAUCAGAUGUGCCAAAGAUCAUGUUUUAGAUAUAUAAAAAUCUAUAUUAAAUGCAAUAAAUAGUAUAUGUAUAUAUAUAAAA